AAUUGCCUGAUGAAGCUGGAGAAAUUGUUAUGCUUGAAGUAAGUAGGAAGGAGGAGUCGCGCGAAUUCUGGAGGAUUCCAAACCACGAAGCUGUUCUUGUUGGAGCUCCACGACACGAUCUCAUCCGUAGACGAAUCAUCCACCAUGUCGUAAGUCUUUAACAAGAAAGGCGCUGGCCCUCCGCCGCCUCCACCUCCACCUCCCGCGGCAGCAGAAGAGGUUGAGGCUGGGACCACUUCCAUUAGACUCUGUCUGAC
Molecule: unclassified non-coding RNA, 257 nt
Filed under: Hevea brasiliensis (rubber tree)
Lineage: Eukaryota; Viridiplantae; Streptophyta; Magnoliopsida; Malpighiales; Euphorbiaceae
Source: RNAcentral